CCUACGGGUGGCUGCAGUCGAGGAAAUUUUACAAUGCUCGCAAGAGUGAUAAAAUAAGCCAGAGUGUUUCUUUUAAAGAAACUUUUGCCAGUUUCAAAAAGACUGGCGAAUAAGGACUGGGCAAGACCGGUGACAGCCGCCGCGGUAAUCCCGGCGGUCCAAGUCGUAUCCACAUUUAUUUGGUCUAAAACAUUCUUAGCUUGUUUGAUAAGUCUCUUGUGAAAUCUGGCAUCUUAAGUGUCAGGCGUGCAAGAGGUACUAUCUUACUAGAGACCGGAAGACGCAAAGAGUAUUGUUGAGGUAGCGGUAAAAUGUGUUAAUCUCGACUAGACUAACAAUGGCGAAGGCACUUUACGAGUACGGUUCUGACAGUGAGGGAUGAAGGCUAGGGGCGCAAAGUGGAUUAGAUACCCUUGUAGUC
This 421-nucleotide ribosomal RNA is filed under the name Salmonella enterica subsp. enterica serovar Anatum. RNAcentral describes it as "bacterial SSU rRNA". It matches the Rfam family "Archaeal small subunit ribosomal RNA", at positions 322 to 746 of the family's 1478-position model. The record is from RNAcentral. Lineage: Bacteria; Pseudomonadati; Pseudomonadota; Gammaproteobacteria; Enterobacterales; Enterobacteriaceae.